UUUUAAAGCUAUUAUAUAGAUAAGCGGGUAUUAGACAUUCCAACGGCAUCAAGUUUAGUGUAGCUAUUGACAACAUGAAGUUGCCAAACAUAGAUCUUGAUAUCAAAACAGUGUCUCCUGCCUUGACUUAAUUCCCUCCCGUGAUUUAUAAGAUGUCUUACAUUACCUUAUAUUGUAGAUUCAAGCUUCAGCGUGGACCAUUAUGUCUUUAAUAUGUGUGAUCCUGUACUAUUUACCAAUUCUUCCCUACGAAAAUCCAAAAUCUUAUAUGGAAUAUGUGUCAGUAAACAUAUACGGUAUAUUUCUUGCAGAAACAGGUCGUCCAUUUUUCCCUGACCAAACAGUUACCACUAACGUUUUCGCUGGCUUCAUGUGGGUUUAUUUCUUCAUUGACAUUGCGUGGAUAUCUACAUCAAUUUACUUGCUUCGCAAUGACAGUGUAACAGCGGUGAAGAUGUGGAGUUACUUUACCUUGUUUAUAAGUUUUUGGGAUUUUAUUACCUUCGUUAUGCUCGGUGCGGACUACGAUAAAUGUUUAAAAUUUGCUAAUUCUUACGCAUAUUGGGGAGUACAUUUGACGCUUCAGUAUUACUGCGCUAUUUUCUUUCUACCGGUGUUUUUAAUUGCAGCCAAGGGAUUUGUUCUGUGGAUACUAAACAUUGUUCUAGCACUCGUUGUUCUUCGAACGACUAGACAAACGGCGAAGAGUAAAUAAGAGCCAGAUUUUUAUUUGAGAUAUUGUGACGCGUAUUCAAUGAAGUAUAAAUAUAUAAUUGUGUGUUCUUUGA
Molecule: long non-coding RNA, 788 nt
Organism: Zophobas morio
Lineage: Eukaryota; Metazoa; Arthropoda; Insecta; Coleoptera; Tenebrionidae
Exons: 3
Source: RefSeq, a predicted model, not a curated record